GACGAACGCUGGCGGCGUGCUUAACACAUGCAAGUCGAACGGAAAGGCCCGGCUUUUGUUGGUUUCUCGAUUGGCGAACGGGGGAGUAACACAUGAGUAACCCGCACUUGUCUGUGUGAUAACUUCAGGGAAAUGGGGAUAUAACCCGGGAGGAUCUCCUGCUGCGUGGGGGUCAUUAGAAAAUGUCGGCGGUUGGGGAUGGACUCGCUGCUUAUCAGCUUGUUGGUGAGGUAGUGGAUUACCAAGGGUUUGACGGGUAGCCGGCCUGAGAGCGUGACCGGCCACAUUGGGACUGAGGUACGGCCCAGACUCCUAUGGGCGGCAGCAGUGGGGAAUAUUGCACAAUGAGCGGAAGUGUGAUGCAGCAACGCCGCGUGCGGGAUGACGGGCUUCGGGUUGUAAACCGAUUUCGCCUGUGCCGAAGCGUGAGUGACGGUAAUGGGUAAAGAAGCACCGGCUAACUACGUG
Molecule: ribosomal RNA, 468 nt
Filed under: uncultured bacterium
Lineage: Bacteria
Description: partial 16S ribosomal RNA
Rfam family: Bacterial small subunit ribosomal RNA
Source: RNAcentral